UCUAGGGAAUCCGGGCAUCGACCCGGUAGGCCGCUCGGCUCGUUGACGGAUCUCGUCCGAUGACCGAGCUCGCCUAGAAGAACGUCGACCUCGAGAGAGGCACGCCGGCAGGCCUACGGGCCCCGGCGCUGCUGGACGUCACGCUGUUGAGUUUUGAGAGACCGUCCCGACGGGGCGGCGUUCUCGCUGCGGUCGCGUGGACCGCGCGCACCUUGAAAACUCCAUAACAGCAGUCACAUAAAAGGUGUUCUUCACGAUCAAGAGAUCAAGAGCACACGGUGGAUGCCUUGGCGCCAAGAGCCGAAGAAGGACGUGGGCGGCUGCGAUAAGCCUGGGGGAGGUGCUGACCGACCUUUGAUCCCAGGAUCU
Molecule: unclassified non-coding RNA, 369 nt
Filed under: uncultured Actinomycetes bacterium
Lineage: Bacteria; Bacillati; Actinomycetota; Actinomycetes
Description: uncultured actinobacterium partial contains 16S ribosomal RNA, 16S-23S ribosomal RNA intergenic spacer, and 23S ribosomal RNA
Rfam family: Bacterial large subunit ribosomal RNA (bases 256-369)
Source: RNAcentral